This 497-nucleotide ribosomal RNA is filed under the name uncultured bacterium. RNAcentral's name for it is "partial 16S ribosomal RNA". It matches the Rfam family "Bacterial small subunit ribosomal RNA", at positions 28 to 507 of the family's 1533-position model. The record is from RNAcentral.
GACGAACGCUGGCGGCGUGCCUAAUACAUGCAAGUCGAACGCUGAAGAGAGGAGCUUGCUCUUCUUUGGUGAGUUGCGAACGGGUGAGUAACGCGUAGGUAACCUGCCUUGUAGCGGGGGAUAACUAUUGGAAACGAUAGCUAAUACCGCAUAACAAUGGAUGACCCAUGUCAUUUAUUUGAAAUGGGCAAAUGCUCCACUACAAGAUGGACCUGCGGUGUAUUAGCUAGUAGGUGAGGUAACGGCUCACCUAGGCGAGGAUACAUAGCCGACCUGAGAGGGUGAGCAGCCACACUGGGAGUGAGACACGGCACAGAGGCCUACGGGAGGCAGCAGGAGGGAAUCGUCGGCAAUGGGGGCAACACUGACCGAGCAACGCCGCGUGAGGGAAGAAGGUUUUCGGAUCGUAAAGCUCUGUUGUAAGGCAAGAAAGAGUGUGAGAGUGGAAAGUUCACACUGUGACGGUAGCUGACCAGAAAGGGACGGCUAACUACGUG